GCAAAUUGCGAAGUUAUAGCUUAAUGGGUAGAAAUGAAAGCCAAAGCCAUUUGCUUUUUAAUAGAUGCAACUGAUUCAAGAAUAUUUGUACUGGUUCAGGAUAGAAAGAAGCCAAAAAAAAAAAUUCAUGCUCUAGCAAAUGCAAGAUUAUAGAAGGGAAUAUGGUCGUGAAAUUGGGUUGUAUGUAGAAAUUUGCUUCGAGUGAAGCUCCUUGCUUCUAACCAAUUCUGUGCCCAUUAAAUUUUCAUCUUUGAUUCUUUUUCCUGUCAUCUUGUAGAGCAUCAUGUGAAACGACGUUUGUACUUGUGCGUAUUGAACUAAUAUUUCUUAUUUCCAAUUUUCCACCCCUAAUCAUUCGAGCA
This 362-nucleotide unclassified non-coding RNA is filed under the name Hevea brasiliensis (rubber tree). The record is from RNAcentral. Lineage: Eukaryota; Viridiplantae; Streptophyta; Magnoliopsida; Malpighiales; Euphorbiaceae.